UAUUCACUCAAUCGUACAGACCCUCCUGCUCCCAUACUUCCACGAGAAAUUCUACCAUGUCCUGUUAAUACCAACCCAAUAAGCAUUACAACAGGAUGAUGAACUAACAUAAUGCAAUACAAAAAAUCAAGCAGAAUUCCCACCAAAGGAAAACGAAGACUUACAGACAAAGGAAUGCGUUGCGCAUAAGGCGACUGUCUCUGUUUGGUUCCAACCAAUCUUUCAUAAGUUGCAUUCCAACUGCAAAGGACAUAGUUAGUCGACCACUGGGAGAAAGAUCAAGGCAAAUUAAAAUGCAAAAUAUAGUUAAAUAAAAUAUGUCUACUAGAUACACCUGCUUACGGGAUUUCCGCCAUUCAUGAGAUCCUUUAAUUCACCAGCAAAUAUGGACAUGCGAACUUGUUUCGAGCAUAAAGUAAUCAAACGGUGGAAUUUUUGAGUGAUUCCAAUUGAAGCGGGUUCGUGAAUCUGUCAAGAAGGUUGUGUCAAAAUUUCAUAAUUUUAUCCUGAAGCAUCUGACCGUGGCGAAUUAAUUUAUGCCCAGCGCACAGUGCUGGCAGAUUGGGCUGCAGAGCUUAUUUGCGACUUUUGGGCUGGAAGAUGAUGGAUUUUGGACUUGGACUCUUCUUGGAACUUGAAGAGGAUGUCCUAAUCAUUAAUUUGAGUCGUUUUAGGCCUGUUUUAGAGCCCUGAAGGUCCAGAAACGUGGCUAUCUUUUUGAUGGGCAGAUUUCCUAGUCAGAAUAGGAAUGUAAUUUCUAGUUAUCCUUUCGUUAUUUUAUUUCCUAGUUUUUAAAAAACCUUUUCUAUGAGGGUUUUGAUUUGGAGUAGUAUAAAUAAGGCUUUUUAGCCAUUAGGGUUCUGGGGGGAUGCAACAUUGAGAGAAUUUAGCAUUAUUUUGGAGAACUUCAGACUUUUUACCUACAAGGUGUUUUCAAUCCUUUUCCUAGUUAAUAUAUUUUCUUUAGUUUUUAUUA
Pyrus x bretschneideri (Chinese white pear) is the source of this 976-nucleotide long non-coding RNA. RefSeq lists it as uncharacterized. The record is from RefSeq and is a predicted model, not a curated record. NCBI's taxonomy places the organism in Eukaryota, Viridiplantae, Streptophyta, Magnoliopsida, Rosales, Rosaceae. The transcript is spliced from 2 exons.